UGAGGAAUAUUGGUCAAUGGACGAGAGUCUGAACCAGCCAUGCCGCGUGCAGGAUGACUGCCCUAUGGGUUGUAAACUGCUUUUAUUGGGGAAUAAACCUUUCUACGUGUAGGAAGCUGAAGGUACUCAAUGAAUAAGCACCGGCUAACUCCGUGCCAGCAGCCGCGGUAAUACGGAGGGUGCAAGCGUUAUCCGGAAUCAUUGGGUUUAAAGGGUCCGCAGGCGGAUUUAUAAGUCAGUGGUGAAAGCCUAUUGCUCAACAAUAGAACUGCCAUUGAUACUGUAAGUCUUGAAUUCGGUCGAAGUGGGCGGAAUAUGACAUGUAGCGGUGAAAUGCUUAGAUAUGUCAUAGAACACCGAUAGCGAAGGCAGCUCACUAGGCCUGGAUUGACGCUCAGGGACGAAAGCGUGGGGAGCAAACA
Molecule: ribosomal RNA, 422 nt
Filed under: uncultured prokaryote
Description: bacterial SSU rRNA
Rfam family: Bacterial small subunit ribosomal RNA
Source: RNAcentral